GCAACGUUACUCCGCUAGGGUUCAUCAUUCUCUCAGUUCGUGGUUUCAUCGUUUAACGAAGAACCGUCGCCGUCCAUUAUUCAACCACAAAUCACCACCGAUAUUGAUUUUGUGAAGGUGUUGUCGGUAAAUAUUGUUCCUACUCAGCU
This is a long non-coding RNA of Lathyrus oleraceus (garden pea), 149 nucleotides long. RefSeq lists it as uncharacterized. The transcript is spliced from 3 exons. NCBI's taxonomy places the organism in Eukaryota, Viridiplantae, Streptophyta, Magnoliopsida, Fabales, Fabaceae. The record is from RefSeq and is a predicted model, not a curated record.